This 600-nucleotide ribosomal RNA is filed under the name uncultured bacterium. RNAcentral's name for it is "bacterial SSU rRNA". It matches the Rfam family "Bacterial small subunit ribosomal RNA", at positions 736 to 1341 of the family's 1533-position model. The record is from RNAcentral.
UUUACUGACACUAAAGCUCGAAAGGUGCGGGGUAUCGAAACAGGAUUAGAUACCCUGGUAGUCCGCACGGUAAACGAUGGAUGCCCGCUGUUUGCGAUAUAGUGUGAGCGGGCAAGCGAAAGCGUUAAGCAUCCCACCUGGGGAGUACGCCGACAACGGUGAAACUCAAAGGAAUUGACGGGGGCCAGCACAAGCGGAGGAACAUGUGGUUUAAUUCGAUGAUACGCGAGGAACCUUACCCGGGCUUGAACUGCCGGCGAACGAUACAGAGAUGUUGAGGCCCUUCGGGGCGCCGGUGGAGGUGCUGCAUGGUUGUCGUCAGCUCGUGCCGUGAGGUGUCGGCUUAAGUGCCAUAACGAGCGCAACCCCUCUCUUCAGUUGCCAUCACUUCGGGUGGGCACUCUGGAGACACACCACCGUAAGGUGUGAGGAAGGUGGGGAUGACGUCAAAUCAGCACGGCCCUUACGUCCGGGGCUACACACGUGUUACAAUGGGUGGUACAGAGCGUCGGCCGCCGGCAACGUCGGUCCAAUCGUGAAUCCAUCCUCAGUUCGGACUGGGGUCUCAACCCGACCCCACGAAGCUGGAUUCGCUAGAAU